Molecule: long non-coding RNA, 4813 nt
Filed under: Gigantopelta aegis
Lineage: Eukaryota; Metazoa; Mollusca; Gastropoda; Neomphalida; Peltospiridae
Description: uncharacterized LOC121374315
Source: RNAcentral
UGGUGUGUAUAAAGAUGGUUGAAUAAAGUACAUUUAGGGACAAAUCAAAUUAUUUUUGUUCAGGUAAUACUUUGUUAGGCCAUUAAAUAGGUCAGUGGUCUGUGACAAUAUGCCUUUCAGAUAAUCACCAACAAGACAAUAGCUCAAAGGUUUUUCAAAACAGUAUUUUAUGUCUCUUUAAAUUUAGCAUCGUGACCUAUUAAUGUUUUGUAUAGCCUCACUAAACUCAUUGAUAUUUUAAGCUUGCCAACAUUUCCCGAUAUACAGUAUAACUGAAUCAAAUUGGGCUCCGUUUAUAAACUUUUGAAGUACAUGUUUAUACAUUUUUACAGGAAACUUUAUGUCCAGUAUUAUGAUUCCCUUUGUGUGUCAGAGAUUCUAAAACAUAAAAUAUUAGUUUCUAUUCAGGUAUCAAAUUGAUUAGCAACUGUCACUAAUCAAAAUUUUUAAUUCAAAGUUUUCUCUUUAUUAGCUCAUACUAAUUUAAAUUGAUAGUAGAAGUUCCAUUCACCUGGUAUGGUGAUAGUGAAAACCAUUCAACUGGUAUGAUGAUAGUAAAGUUCCAUUCAACUGGUAUGGUGAUAGUAAAGUUCCAUUCAACUGGUAUGGUGAUAGUAAAGUUCCAUUCAACUGGUAUGGUGAUAGUAAAGUUCCAUUCAACUGGUAUAAUAAUAGUAGUUCCAUUCAGCUGGUAUGAUAAUAGUAGUUCCAUUCAACUGGUAUGAUAAUAGUAGUUCCAUUCAACUGGUAUGAUAAUAGUAGUUCCAUUCAACUGGUAUGAUGAUAGUAAAGUUCCAUUCAACUGGUAUGGUGAUAGUAAAGUUCCAUUCAACUGGUAUGGUGAUAGUAAAGUUCCAUUCAACUGGUAUGAUAAUAGUAGUUCCAUUCAACUGGUAUGGUGAUAGUAAAGUUCCAUUCAACUGGUAUGAUAAUAGUAAAGUUCCAUUCAGCUGGUAUGUCUGUUUGUUUGUUUUGUUUAACAACACCACUAGAGCACAUUGAUUUAUUAAUCAUCAGCUAUUGGAUGUCAAACAUAUGGUCAUUUUGACAGUCAUAGAGAGAAAACCUGCUACAUUUUUUUCUUUUUCCAUUAGUAGCAAGGGAUCUUUUAUAUGCACCAUUCUACAGACAAGAUAGCACAUACCACGGUCUUUGAUAUACCAGUCGUGGUGCACUGGUUAACUGGUAUGAUAGAAAAGUUCCAACCAACUGGUACAUAUAACUGGUAUGAUGAUAGUAGAGUUGCAUUCAACUGGUAUGAUGAUAGUAGAUAUACAUAUUUAGUCAGUUUACAUUUGUUCAGCAGUGUGAACAAUUCCCAAUUUCAACAUUUGUUUUUAUGUUCUUUGUUUUUUUAUGUUCUUUGCUUAGAAAAAAACUAUUAUUGGACAUACAUUUACUACUGAAUUACUAAAACAGUCCUUUCAAAAGUGCCUGGUGAAGCCCAUAGACAUGUCAUUUUAGCUAAUAGUUUGAUUUAAUGAUCAAGUUACAGAUAAUACAGACAUUGUAUUUUUGUAUUCUAAGACAUUACAAGAUUGUAAUACAUUUUUCCCCAUUUAUAUUUCAACAAUUGUGCCUUUUUCACCAAUGGCAAGUGCCGUAAUAUUUUUAGCAGGUAUUUAUUAAAACAAAAAUCAAAGAUAAUGUAAGUGCAGUAUUUUUAUAAUUAUGGACUAAUUAAUAACAUAAUUAUUUUAUGGAAUUUCCCCAGUUUAUUGAAGGACAUCCUCUCGGCAUCUCACGUAAAACUGUAGUUGUGGGCCAAGAGCCUUCCAGUGUUGUAUACUACAUGUACAUGUACCUGUAUGUAAUUACCAAACAAAUAUAUAGUCAUUUGUAUAUAGUGUUGUAUACUACAUGUACAUGUACCUGUAUGUAAUUACCACACAAAUAUAUAGUCAUUUGUAUACAGUGUUGUAUACUACAUGUACAUGUACCUGUAUGUAAUUACCAAACAAAUAUAUAGUCAUUUGUAUAUAGUGUUGUAUACUACAUGUACAUGUACCUGUAUGUAAUUACCACACAAAUAUAUAGUCAUUUGUAUACAGUGUUGUAUACUACAUGUACAUGUACCUGUAUGUAAUUACCAAACAAAUAUAUAGUCAUUUGUAUACAGUGUUGUAUACUACAUGUACAUGUACCUGUAUGUAAUUACCACACAAAUAUAUAGUCAUUUGUAUACAGUGUUGUAUACUACAUGUACAUGUACCUGUAUGUAAUUACCAAACAAAUAUAUAUUCAUUUGUAUACAAUAUACUCACUAUAUUUAUUGGGAUAUAAAUGUACCUUCUGGGGCAGUGGAUCUCUGUACAAGUUAGUAAAGGAAAUUUAUAUAUGGUGUCUUGUGUAAUUACACAUAUGAAGGGUGCAUGGGAAUAACCUGUGAUGUCACAUUUUUAUUAAGGUGAUAUUUUGGAAUUUUAAUGUUUACAACUCUGCAAUUGUGCAAUAUUUAUGCCUAAAAAAGCAUAAUUUACAAACUACUUUUAAUGGCCGACCAUAAUUACAGGUUUUUAAUUUAGUGUGUUACUGUGACCUUAACAUACGUGACCGUUAUAAUACUAUCUGUUUGGACAUCAUAGGUUAUUCCCAUGGGCCCUUCAUAUACAUGUGGAUUGUGGACUCGUAUACCUGUGUACUUGUAUAUACAGACAGUUGCUUCAUGCAGGCUGUGGACUCCUAUACGUGUAUAUACAGAGUUGCUUCAUGCAGGCUGUGGACUCCUAUACCUGUGUACUUGUAUAUACAGAGUUGCUUCAUGCAGGCUGUGGACUCGUAUACCUGUGUACUUGUAUAUACAGUUGCUUCAUGCAGGUUGUGGACUCGUAUACCUGUGUACUUGUAUAUACAGAGUUGCUUCAUGCAGGCUGUGGACUUGUAUACGUGUAUAUACAGUUGCUUCAUGCAGGCUGUGGACUCCUAUACGUGUAUAUACAGAGUUGCUUCAUGCAGGCUGUGGACUCCUAUACCUGUGUACUUGUAUAUACAGUUGCUUCAUGCAGGCUGUGGACUCCUAUACGUGUAUAUACAGAGUUGCUUCAUGCAGGCUGUGGACUCCUAUACCUGUGUACUUGUAUAUACAGUUGCUUCAUGCAGGCUGUGGACUCCUAUACGUGUAUAUACAGAGUUGCUUCAUGCAGGCUGUGGACUCGUAUUCGUGUAUACGUGUAUAUACAGUUGCUUCAUGCAGGCUGUGGACUCCUAUACGUGUAAAUACAGACAGUUGCUUCAUGCAGGCUGUGGACUCGUAUACAUGUAUAUACACAGUUGCUUACACAUUUGAAUACCUUUUGUUCUAUUUUUGUGUGUUAAUUACAUUCUCACACAUACAGAAAUGUUAAUGAAAGAAUUGUAUGGUCAUGGUAACAUCUUAAUUACCUUAUAUUAUAGCCAAUGUUUGUGGGUGAUACAAUUUACACUGUUAUUUUUAUUAGCACUACACAAUGUAUGUCAGUAGCAUUGUAUGAUGUCUUUCCAGUGUUUUCUAUAUUCCUUACAGCCAACAGAAUGUUCAAUGAUUACUUUUUUAUAAUGCCAAGACCCCCUUACUGAAAAUUCUUCUUGUGUUUUUAUUUUGUUUUUCUUUCAGUUGACAAUAAAUAUUAGAAGAAAACUAAAAUUAUCUGUAAUGGAACAAAUUGCCCACAACGGGCUGCAAUGAAUUAUUUUACAAAUAGAAAUUACAUUUUUUGAAAAUGUUUAUAAAACUGGACAAGGAGAUCUCCCCCAUAUUAGUUUGCAAUGCAUCCAUGACAUCCCAUUCCCCUUAAUACCAUUUCAUUGUUGAACAGCCCUCAUAACACGAAGUACAAUUAGGUUUACUUGGUAUAUAGGUGCAUAUAUUAAACCACAUUUCCUUGUUGUUUUUAUUGAGAAACAAAAAGGGGGGGGGGAGAGAGCAAAUUUACAAAGCCCGUUUCCCUUAAACGCAGGUGUUUAAGCAUUGUAAAUGUAUGUAGUUAAACACAUGUGUAAGACAUAAAUAGGAUUUGUAAAUUCGGCCCAAUAUUUUUGUUCAAGUUAAUAUAUUUGUAUUUUGAAAUGGUUUGUAGUGGGUGGGUGGUGCUAACCUUCCUCCAAUGAAUGAAUGUAGGUGGGUGGGUGGGUGAAUGAUUGACAAUCACUUAUGGUAGUCAGGUAUGUUCAGUAUUUCAAUAUGAUUAAGUUAUUUGGUUUAGAUUUGUUGGGAGGCUGUGCAAGUUCGGUUCAUAAAAGCAUCUAGGCCAUACACCGACCACAUCCUCCUGACCUGCUGGUGUGUUACACUGUGUAGGACCAUUCUAGUCUUACAGAUAGUCAUAGCAAUCGGAAAAAUACAAAAUUGAUAGUUUUAAUUUCAAGCCAAUUCAUAUUUCAUUGUUAACAUCAGGCCAAUUCAGAAGGCUACAAACUGAAAUUGUUAAAGGCGCACACCCUAUAGUUUCAGCCCGUGAAAAUGAACACUAAUUUAGAUAACCAUUAUUUUAUUGUGGCCCAUUUACAUCUAAGGUUGUUUUGGGUUUUUUCGUUCCCCCCCUCAUUAUUGUAACCAAUGUCAACAGUACGCAUAAGCAAGUUGACUGAAUUGGUAUGUCUAAAUGUUAAGUACAGGUUAGAUAUUUAAAUAUGUUGUUAUUUCAGUAAGAGCAAAAUACUAUACUGCAUAUGUUAACCAAUGUUUGUUUUCAACAGUGUUUGUUUUCUUGUUAUAAAUGAACUUUUAAGGUUGCAAAUACACAUGUAUAUAUUUUAUAAUUAUAAAAGUAUAAUUUACUCAAGGUAUUCAUGAAGCAAGUUUAAUUGCUUUUUCUUAAUAAAAAGAAGGAAAAUA